Long non-coding RNA from Oreochromis niloticus (Nile tilapia), 562 nucleotides. RefSeq lists it as uncharacterized. The transcript is spliced from 4 exons. Lineage: Eukaryota; Metazoa; Chordata; Actinopteri; Cichliformes; Cichlidae. The record is from RefSeq and is a predicted model, not a curated record.
CUGGAGAGUCCAGGAUGUGGACUUGAAACUCUGAGAUUGAGCGACUGUAGUUUGUCAGAGAUCAGCUGUGAUUAUCUGGCAGCAGCACUGAAGUCCAACCCCUCCCAUCUGAGAGAGCUGGACCUGAGUAGUUACUACUGCUUGUUGUUGACCAGCAAGAACAACCUGCAGGAUUCAGGAGUGAAGCAUCUGUGUGGUUUCCUGGAGAGUCCAGGAUGUGGACUUGAAACUCUGAGAUUGAGGUACUGUGGUUUGUCAAAGAUCAGCUGUGAUUAUCUGGCAGCUGCACUGAAGUCCAACCCCUCCCAUCUGAGAGAGCUAGACCUGUGGGGAAACAAGCUGCAGGAUCCAGAUGUGAAGCAGCUGUCUGAUCUUCAGCAGAGUUCAAACUACAGACUGGAGAAACUGGGGUGGAGCUGGGGAUGGUGAACAGGACGGUGUGUGUGCUGAGAGAGGAGGAGCUGUGUCCUGAUGAUCCAGAGAGGUUGAAGCAGCAGCAGCUUGUGUGUAGAGACGCUCCGACUGGGCCAUGUUACUGGGAGGUGGAGAGGAGAGCUUCAUC